Sapajus apella (tufted capuchin) is the source of this 688-nucleotide RNA transcript. It is a transcript of the gene named coiled-coil domain-containing protein 58 pseudogene, with no coding region annotated. The record is from RefSeq and is a predicted model, not a curated record. The transcript has a single exon. NCBI's taxonomy places the organism in Eukaryota, Metazoa, Chordata, Mammalia, Primates, Cebidae.
AAUAUGGCGGCGCCCAGUGGCGGUGUGAACUGUGAGGAGUUCGCCGAGUUCCAGGAAUUACUCAAGGUGAUGAGGACAAUUGAUGACAGAAUAGUACAUGAAUUAAACACUAUAGUUCCAACAGCUUCCUUUGUAGGGAAAAUUGAUGCCAGCCAAACCUGUAAACAGCUUUAUGAGUCAUUGAUGGCAGCUCAUGCCAGUAGAGACAAAGUCAUAAAAAAUUGUAUAGCCCAGACGUCAGAAGUAGUAAAAAAUCUCCGAGAAGAGAGAGAAAAGAAUUUAGACGAUUUAACGUUAUUAAAGCAACUUAGAAAAGAGCAGACAAAGUUGAAAUGGAUGCAGUCAGAACUGAAUGUUGAAGAAGUGGUAAAUGACAGGAGCUGGAAGGUGUUUAAUGAACGCUGCCGAAUUCACUUCAAGCCUCCAAAGAAUGAAUAAAGAGAGAUACUUUUUUUUUUUUUAAAGGACUGGGUCAUCUCAUAAGAGCUAAGCAUGACAGGUAUCAACAGGGCGGGCUUCCUAGGAUGAUUUCUGAGCCAACAGUCCAAGACCUUUUGUUGAUUUCAGCCCCACUUAGCCAAGACCUCAAAUAUAAAUAAUUCUGAUAAUUAUGGAGAAAUCAACUGCUAUUUUAUACUGAUUCUGUAAAAAAAAAAAAAGUUUUGUAACUAUUAAAAUAAUUUUCUGA